UCAUAACAAUACAAAUUGUUAAGUAUUUUUGUCCAAGAAAAUGCUGUUUCUGGUCCAGUAAGUGGCUUUACUUUUUAGUUAUUGUUGGAAACUAAGCUAGGUCUUUGCUUGGCAAUGAAUUAAGCUGCACCAACUAGAUAAUGUUGAAGCUAGUUUGAACAGUUCAUCAGCUUCGGUUUAUUGGUAGACAAUUGCAAAUGACAGGGUGAGAUUCCACAUCACAAAAGUUUUCUUGUGAUGCAAUGCUUCAGAACUUGGCUAAAACAAUCUCUCGCAUGAAAUCUGUCGGUGCUUCUCUGCCCGUGAAGAGGUUGAACUGGCCGAUUGCUUGUCUAAGGAACAUUUCAACCCCACUUACUAUGAUUGCUCCUGCUGCUUCGGCUUCUUUUAAUAGUCUGGUUUUUCUAGGUGUAUAGACAGCAUCAAAGACCAGGUGAUAGAUCCCCAGGGUUGCCUCAGCCACAGGAAUUCUAUCUGUAUUUGGAUGCAUUCCUAAAGGUGUUGCAUUUGCCAGGAUUGCUCCAUCCUCUGGCUGGAAAUGAACUAGAUUUUCGAAAGGCUGAGCUUCACCCGAAACCCCAUGUGCCAGAGACUUUGCUCUCUCAAAAUCAACAUCGAAAAUGAUUAUACGGGCA
Molecule: unclassified non-coding RNA, 635 nt
Filed under: Hevea brasiliensis (rubber tree)
Lineage: Eukaryota; Viridiplantae; Streptophyta; Magnoliopsida; Malpighiales; Euphorbiaceae
Source: RNAcentral